RNAcentral lists this long non-coding RNA (1277 nucleotides) under Heterocephalus glaber (naked mole-rat). RNAcentral describes it as "lncRNA (ENSHGLG00100040872.1)". Lineage: Eukaryota; Metazoa; Chordata; Mammalia; Rodentia; Bathyergidae. The record is from RNAcentral.
GUGAGCGGAGCCAGAGCCUCGCCCGCCUCCCGCCCGCGCUCCCCGCCGCCGCCGCCAGCGCCGCUGCAGUGAUUCCUCGUCUCCAUCUAGCGAGGCUAUUGUGUAUUGGGCGCUUAAUAAUUUAUUUAUUCACCCUGGAGGCUGAGGACUCCCAGCUGCUGGGGAUCUUGCCCCUUGCUUGCCCUUUCCCCAAGUUUAUCCUGAGACUGGGAGAAGGUGGGAGGAUCUGUCUUGUAGAGACCCCCUCUGCUCUCUGUCUUUGCGGACCCCCAUUCCUCACAGGCUCCGCGGGUCCCAGGACUGUAAGGUGCAGGCCACCGCUCCGGAGGCCAAGUACUUUGUCCCCCCUGCCCUUUGCAGCCGGGCAGUGGGGGCGUGCCUCCAUCCCCCUUCGCAUGCCGGAGGGAGUUGCGAUGGCCUUGGGGAGGGUCUUCCACCACUGCUUUCCUCAACAUCUGCAAAUUCCUCUUCAAGCCAAGACUAUCAACAAGUCGGUUGCGGGAAGGAGCCUGCUACGUCUCCAGCAGACAAGCUACUCCUCGCUUCCGAAGAAGCUUGGCAGGCGCGCUCUGGUCUUUCAGACCAACGUCUUGGCGACCUUCUUCAUGUCAGAGCCCCAGGACGCGAUAGAUACUCUUCUCCGUAGGACUCUAGGGAUCCGGAUCCGCCCCUCCACUGCACUGGGGAUGGAACUCAGUACCUUCUGCUUGGGAGGCAGGCGCGUUGCCACUGAGCUAAAUGCCUGGCCCUGCAUUAUCUAAUCUGGUCUUCAGCAUUCCUAUACUGGACCUCUAUGUACCAAUGCACCUCUUGAGAGUCACCUGGCCCUCAUCUUCCUGGCCCAUCCAACACUGCAGAAUGUCACAGCCUCCCUUAGGGUGAAGACAAGCUCCAUUGCAGAUCUCUCAUGCCACAGUAGGACCCAGGGAUGUGCUGGCUCCUCUCGCCCUUUCUGGGUAUAGAUGGUGACCCACACACUGUCACACAGGAUCUGCUUACAGAGGCCACUUGGCAGCUCUACUCAGAAAUGGAAAGGAGUUAAACUUUGGGGGAAAACUUUGGCCAAUGAAAGGCAGGAGAUGAAAGGAACCCAGCAUACGGAUUCCAGUGGUUCCAGUUGACCUGUCAGGAGGUGUCCAGUAGGUGAUUAAGCAACUGGCAAUGUUUUCUCCAGAUAUGUGGCCAGCUUGAUAAUUCACAACUUUGUAUUUGCUCCCCGCCUUACUACCACUUUUCCCUUGUUUUUCUUACCCUAGGAUUUUAUCCCUCAAUAAAGU